Long non-coding RNA from Felis catus (domestic cat), 2599 nucleotides. RefSeq lists it as uncharacterized. NCBI's taxonomy places the organism in Eukaryota, Metazoa, Chordata, Mammalia, Carnivora, Felidae. The transcript has 3 exons. The record is from RefSeq and is a predicted model, not a curated record.
UCCUAUGGAAACCGAGCCUGCGCAGGUGGCUCACAGGAGGCUCUAACUGUUGGCAAAUUCGGAAGUUUUUAAAGAUGCUUAUUUAUUUUAUUAUAUUUGUUGGUAGACUUGGCUCGGCUGUUAAAGACCUUGUUUUUGUGUCCCAGUGGGGGGUGAAAAGAUGUUUUGUGAAAGGAACAGUUGAGUGACCAAUUUUUGCACCGAAUUUUUUUUAUCUGGGGUUUGUGAACAUUCUUGCGCUUCUCACAAGGAGCCCUAAUUAGAUGCAGCUCUCCCCAACGCCCCCCCCCCCGCCCCCCAGGCUCAUACUAUAGCUGAAGCGUGAACCUAUUUUUUCUGCACACUGUAAUAAGGUUUGAAUUUAGAUGUGGAAACUGACUUCGGAGGAGCCAAGUCUUACCCAUAGUUUCCUAGCUGGGGCCAACCACUGCCACAGGACUGAGGGAAUGGUUACAUAAAUCUGCGGAGCCCACUGCAAAAUGAAAAUCUGUUCCUCAAAGCCCUGCUGUUUGAAUCCCUGUUACCACUGCACUGAAACUGUGUUUGUCACUGUUACCAGUGACCUCCCAGGUGCUCAUUAUACUUUUGAUUGUUCACAGUAUGAGAUAUCACCCCUUUCUGUUGCCGGGAUUGACUCACCUGAAUGUGUUGGCUCAGCCAGUGACCCCCUUCCUCUUUGUCUUCUCACAUUUAUCAUUGUCUAAGCUAGAAGCCUUGCCAAAUAGAUGGACUAUGUAGAGGUUGCUUCAUGCUAGACUUUUUCAUACCUUACCUUGGUCAUGUGAAUACUAUUGAUUCAAGAGAAUUACCCAGCCCCACUGGUGAUAGUGCUGGACUUGAGAUCUGCCUGUGUUCAUGUCUGUAACAACUAGUUUAGAGCGCAGGGAAGUUCCAAGCAAGGGCCAGGGUAUGGGAGAGGUCAGCUCUGGAUGCAAGAAAUGAGGGAAGGGGCAAGAAUUUUUCUGGAGAAAAUUUAAAAUUAUUUACAAUCCUGACUAAAGUCAACCUGCUUCUAUUAUCACCAUGCACUAGAAAUGCUAAAAAAAAAAAAAGUGAUAAAACUCUCCUCACUGAACAAAUAUUUUGUCUGUUCUAAAUAAUUACCACAGUUUUACUAUCAAGUUUAAAAAAAUGUACAUGUAAGCUUCAAAAUUACCACACUUUUAUUAACUUUAAUAAACAUAUCUUAUAUGAAAGUAAGUUGGAGAACUGCCAGGUAUGUAAUUGGCCUCUGAUACACAUAGUCUCAGAUACCUAUUCGGUAGUAAGUUUGUGAUUGUCUGGAAUCAGCUGAGCACACUUUUCAACACAGCUGAUUUGCAGUCUCUGUGAUACUAUAUAUUCCCACAUUUAAUAGCUGUUUGGAGUAAAUGAUAGAAUAAUAGCUGUGAAUUUUGUAGUUCUCUAUUUUUUUUUCUGAUGUGAAGUUUUAGAUGAGGUGUAUCAGAUUAAAAAAUUUGCAGAAAGCUGGAAUCAUCCUUGAAUGUUGUACCAUGAAAUGCCAAGCUUUAAAAUCAUUUCUUGAAAAGAGGCAUACAGGAAAUGUGGAAAGUGAUACGAACCUGCAGCACCAACAAGUGAAAAAAGGUAAGAGAACGGACAUUCACAUAGAAAAAAGAAUCAAAUUUCAGAGAACGGGAGAAGAAACAACAGAAGAUGCUGGUAUUACAUCGCCAUUAGCAGAGCAGAAGAGCAAUAGGUGAAUGCCUCGAGGGUUUUCACUAAAAAUGGACGCUUGCUUUGAAACAGUGGAUUAAAUAAGUUUCGUUAUCCUUCAGCCAGUUUCUCUGAUUUUUGCAGAAGAAAAAAAUGUGUAGUUGUAACCAGUAUUAUGAUAAACCAGAAGUUUAUGAUGAAUUUUAAUGUGAAAAUAUUUUAGUGGAAAUAUUUUUAACUGGAACCAUUUAGCAUACAUCCUGAAGAAACAGAGACACGGAUAAUAUUACAGUUUCUGGAAUUUAUUGUGAAUGAGAUUAUAAUGAUUCACUGCCAAAUAUUUUCUAAGGUUUAAGACUUAGACUAGUAGCAUAUAGGUACACGUCGCUUCUUGUGAAAGAAACAUCAACAUUAAAAUUAACUGAAAGUGUUCUUGAGCUAUAAAUGAAGAGAAAUGGACAAAUAUGGCUAUAUUAUCUAUUAAACACGAAUAUAUGAAGAUCAAUUUUGUAUAAAGUUUUUGAUAAAUAUGCAGAGAAGUUCAAGCUUGAAAAUAAAAAUAAUAUUAUCAUUGAAUGCUCUGACAGACCAAUAUCCAGUAAUAAAUUUUCAGGUGUGUAGUAUAUUAAUGUAGUUAAAAAGUAUGGUUUCAGUUGAGGAAUGAGCAUAAUUCUGACAUGAAUAUUGAUUGGUAUUUUUAUUUACAUUAGUGAGUAGAUGAAAGUGAAAGUAGUGAAGAUAUAUGUUGAAACUUCAUUUGUUCAUAAAUGACAAGAGCACUUCUCACUGAAUUGGCUAUGGUUUUUGAUUACAGGAAGAACAUUGCACUAUCCACAGUGGAUGACGUAGACAAAGCAAACUUUUAAACUUAAUCUGUGUUGUUAAAAUUUUCUCCUUUGUUGUCAUAAGGCUUAGGGUCAAUCAAUAAAACAGUUAAGCAAGA